CAGCAGCCACGGGAAUACGUAGGUGGCGAGCGUUGUCCGGAAUCAUUGGGCGUAAAGGGAGCGCAGGCGGGCAUGUAAGUCUUUCUUAAAAGUUCGGGGUUUAACCCCGUGAUGGGAUGGAAACUGCUGAUCUAGAGUAUCGGAGAGGAAAGUGGAAUUCCUAGUGUAGCGGUGAAAUGCGUAGAUAUUAGGAAGAACACCAGUGGCGAAGGCGACUUUCUGGACGAAAACUGACGCUGAGGCGCGAAAGCCAGGGGAGCGAACGGGAUUAGAUACCCCCGUAGUCCCUGUCUCUAUACAC
This 301-nucleotide ribosomal RNA is filed under the name uncultured bacterium. RNAcentral describes it as "partial 16S ribosomal RNA". It matches the Rfam family "Bacterial small subunit ribosomal RNA", at positions 509 to 809 of the family's 1533-position model. The record is from RNAcentral.